GACGAACCGUGCGAACGUUGUUCGGAUUCACUGGGCUUAAAGGGCGCGUAGGCGGCUUGCCAAGUCAGGGGUGAAAUCUUUCGGCUCAACCGGAAAACAGCUUCUGAUACUGGCGGGCUUGAGGGAGGUAGGGGCGGAUGGAACUUCCGGUGGAGCGGUGAAAUGCGUAGAUAUCGGAAGGAACGCCGGUGGCGAAAGCGGCGUUCUGGACUGCAACUGACACUGAGGAACGAAAGCCAGGGGAGCAAACGGG
Molecule: ribosomal RNA, 253 nt
Filed under: uncultured bacterium
Lineage: Bacteria
Description: partial 16S ribosomal RNA
Rfam family: Bacterial small subunit ribosomal RNA
Source: RNAcentral